UACGGGGGGGGCAAGCGUUGUUCGGAAUUACUGGGCGUAAAGGGCUUGUAGGUGGCCAACUAAGUCAGACGUGAAAUCCCUCGGCUUAACCGGGGAACUGCGUCUGAUACUGGAUGGCUGGAGUGUGGGAGAGGGAUGCGGAAUUCUAGGUGUAGCGGUGAAAUGCGUAGAUAUCUGGAGGAACACCGGUGGCGAAGGCGGCAUCCUGGACCAUUACUGACACUGAAAAGCGAAAGCCAGGGGAGCAAACGGG
RNAcentral lists this ribosomal RNA (253 nucleotides) under uncultured bacterium. RNAcentral describes it as "partial 16S ribosomal RNA". It matches the Rfam family "Bacterial small subunit ribosomal RNA", at positions 524 to 776 of the family's 1533-position model. The record is from RNAcentral.